AACUAACAAGGAUCCCCUAGUAACGGCGAGUGAAGCGGGAAAAGCUCAAAUUUGUAAUCUGGCGCCUUGGGCGUCCGAGUUGUAAUCUCGAGAAGUAUUUUCCGCGCUGGACCGCACAUAAGUCUGUUGGAAUACAGCGUCAUAGUGGUGAGAACCCCGUAUAGGGUGCGGAUGCCCAGUGCUUUGUGAUAUACUUUCGAAGAGUCGAGUUGUUUGGGAAUGCAGCUCAAAUUGGGUGGUAAAUUCCAUCUAAAGCUAAAUAUUGGCGAGAGACCGAUAGCGAACAAGUACCGUGAGGGAAAGAUGAAAAGCACUUUGGAAAGAGAGUUAACAGUACGUGAAAUUGUUGGAAGGGAAACGCUUGAAGUCAGACUUGCAUUUUGGAGUUCAGCCGCAAGGUGUAUUCUUCAAUUCGCAGGCCAGCAUCAGUUUUUGGGGGUGGAAAAGCGCGGUUCGAAGGUAGCAGUCUCGGCUGUGUUAUAGCUUGCCGCUGGAUUCACUUUUGGGGACUGAGGAACGCAGUACACUUUUUGCAAGAUUCUCGGAUCUUUCGUACUUAGGAUGCUGGUGGAAUGGCUUUAAACGAC
This 587-nucleotide ribosomal RNA is filed under the name Microbotryum violaceum. RNAcentral describes it as "eukaryotic LSU rRNA". It matches the Rfam family "Eukaryotic large subunit ribosomal RNA", at positions 63 to 648 of the family's 3401-position model. The record is from RNAcentral. Lineage: Eukaryota; Fungi; Basidiomycota; Microbotryomycetes; Microbotryales; Microbotryaceae.